AGAAUCAACGCUGGCGGCGUGCCUAACACAUGCAAGUCGAACGAGAAAGGGUAGCAAUACCUGAGUACAGUGGCGCACGGGUGAGUAACACGUGACUAACCUACCCUUGAGUGGGGGGAUAACUGAGGGAAACCUUAGCUAAUACCGCAUAAUACCUACGGGUCAAAGGAGCAAUUCGCUUUAGGAGGGGGUCGCGGUCGAUUAGUUAGUUGGCGGGGUAAUGGCCCACCAAGACUGUGAUCGAUAUCCGGCCUGAGAGGGCGCACGGACACACUGGAACUGAAACACGGUCCAGACUCCUACGGGAGGCAGCAGUGGGGAAUUUGCGCAAUGGGGGAAACCCUGACGCAGCAACGCCGCGUGGAGGAUGAAGUACUUCGGUACGUAAACUCCUUUCGAUCGGGACGAUAAUGACGGUACCGAGAGAAGAAGCCCGGCUAACUUCGCGCCAGCAGCCGC
Molecule: ribosomal RNA, 459 nt
Filed under: uncultured bacterium
Lineage: Bacteria
Description: SSU rRNA
Rfam family: Bacterial small subunit ribosomal RNA
Source: RNAcentral